CUACGGGGCGCAGCAGUGAGGAAUAUUGCACAAUGGGGGAAACCCUGAUGCAGCAACGCCGCGUGGAGGAUGACGCAUUUCGGUGUGUAAACUCCUUUUAUCAGAGAAGAAAAUGACGGUAUCUGAUGAAUAAGCUCCGGCUAACUCCGUGCCAGCAGCCGCGGUAAUACGGAGGGAGCAAGCGUUAUUCGGAAUCACUGGGCGUAAAGGACGCGUAGGCGGGUUUUUAAGUCAGGUGUGAAAUCCUAUGGCUCAACCAUAGAACUGCACUUGAAACUGGGGACCUAGAGUAUGGAAGGGGCAGGUGGAAUUAGUGGUGUAGGGGUAAAAGCCGUAGAUAUCACUAGGAAUACCGAAAGCGAAGGCGACCUGCUGGGACAUUACUGACGCUGAGGCGUGAAAGCGUGGGGAGCAAACAGGAUUAGAUACCCCAGUAGUC
This 439-nucleotide ribosomal RNA is filed under the name uncultured bacterium. Its description in RNAcentral is "partial 16S ribosomal RNA". It matches the Rfam family "Bacterial small subunit ribosomal RNA", at positions 339 to 795 of the family's 1533-position model. The record is from RNAcentral.